UUUUUGAGAUGCAAAAUUUCGGCUCAGAACAGUUACAAAUCACCCCAUUUGGCUUACCUGCAGGCCCUGGAGACAGUCAAGGAAGAUGACAGCAGCAAAUGUCCCAACUUAUAUGACUGAUUCAAGCCCCUGUUUCACCUCACAUCAUCAGGAAUGUUUGACUUCAUCUGGAGUUGGAACUGUUCACCCACCCACCAGUAAUACCGCACUCCUUCCAGACUCCCAAAAUUGAAAAAUGCCUUAGGAGAACGAAGAAGAUGGAGAGGAGGAAAAUGCCACAUGCAGCUUUUCAAGGAUCCUAUCGCUCUGCUUUCCACCCACUUCACGCUCAUCAUGUCAACUGACGGCCACAGCCAACACAGUUUGGACAGCUGAACGCUUGAGGAGGACAGCUCCUGGAAGUGGUGGCAGCACUGUGAUCGACGCACAGCGAGACUGAUUUGCACACUUACCUUUCCUGAACACCGAACACAAACACGCACAGUAUUUUCCUACCUCUUGACUUACUCUCCGCUUGUCGUCCAUCAGCAGAGGCUAAAAAUAAGGGCUGUCCUAAUAUGACACACUAUUUACGAUGGCCCGUUUUAAUGAACUUGUUUUAAGCCUACGGACAGACAUUUGGACCGUAAAGAUCCAGAAUGCACCUCUUCCACGUUGUGGCCAUCUCAUCCUCUGGUUCGACCCUCUUGCCGUAUGAACACGUAGUGCUUAUAUGUUAUGUAUAUACUGCCAAUAUACAAUGAAUGCACUUUUUUUUGCACAGCUUUUGUUUAUCACAGGUUGACAUUGACAGUUCAGGCACUGGCCCGAUGACUGCGUCUGUGAACUCCCGACCUGAACACGUUUUUGUGUUUGUGUGCGCGAGCACUGAGCAGCGUAGAGGCGACCCAGCGCCAAGGGGAAAACGUGGGAUUUGGUUUCUGAUACGAUCCAGAUGAGGAGACACCAAUUAGGCCUACGUCUGGGCGCGAGAUGUUUAUUUAACUUUGGCCUCGGGCCACACUGUGAAACUCACUAAAACCACUUCUAGAAGGAUGGGUCGGAGCUGCGUGUGAAGGGCCAAACUCUGUCGGGUCCCAAAAUGAGAACACCGUGGUACAGUAAUCCUUCUUCCGUAUUCUUGGUUUUGGGGAUUUCUGUGCUGUGUGCACUGUGGGUAGCACUGGUGCCUCAGUUCCCAGGCUGUGGGUUUUAAUCCAUGGUGCUUGUAUGUGCUCCCUACGUUGGUGGGGGUUUCCUCCCAGAGUCCAAAGGUAAACUGCUUCUGUUCCCUCCAUUACCAUGAUAACUGUGCAAGUUGUUGCCGAGAGUUGAGCUAAUCUAGACGGUGUUUACCCUACCCUGUUUACCAGGUCAGACC
Molecule: long non-coding RNA, 1360 nt
Organism: Scleropages formosus (Asian bonytongue)
Lineage: Eukaryota; Metazoa; Chordata; Actinopteri; Osteoglossiformes; Osteoglossidae
Exons: 3
Source: RefSeq, a predicted model, not a curated record